AGCAGUCGCCACGGUAAUACAGAGGGUGCGAGCGUUAAUCGGAUUUACUGGGCGUAAAGCGUGCGUAGGCGGCUUUUUAAGUCGGAUGUGAAAUCCCUGAGCUUAACUUAGGAAUUGCAUUCGAUACUGGGAAGCUAGAGUAUGGGAGAGGAUGGUAGAAUUCCAGGUGUAGCGGUGAAAUGCGUAGAGAUCUGGAGGAAUACCGAUGGCGAAGGCAGCCAUCUGGCCUAACACUGACGCUGAGGUACGAAAGCAUGGGGAGCAAACAGGAUUAGAUACCCCUGUAGUCCCUGUCUCUUAUAC
RNAcentral lists this ribosomal RNA (303 nucleotides) under uncultured bacterium. RNAcentral's name for it is "partial 16S ribosomal RNA". It matches the Rfam family "Bacterial small subunit ribosomal RNA", at positions 507 to 807 of the family's 1533-position model. The record is from RNAcentral.